AGUAACACGUAAACAACCUGCCUUCAGACGGGGACGAACAGACGGAAACGACUGCUAAUACCGAAUAAGUUCCAAGGGCCGCAUGGCCCAUGGAAGAAAAGGUGGCCUCUACCUGUAAGCUAUCGCCUGAAGAGGGGUUUGCGUCUGAUUAGCUGGUUGGAGGGGUAACGGCCCACCAAGGCGACGAUCAGUAGCCGGUCUGAGAGGAUGAACGGCCACACUGGAACUGAGACACGGUCCAG
RNAcentral lists this ribosomal RNA (242 nucleotides) under uncultured bacterium. Its description in RNAcentral is "partial 16S ribosomal RNA". It matches the Rfam family "Bacterial small subunit ribosomal RNA", at positions 109 to 334 of the family's 1533-position model. The record is from RNAcentral.